RNAcentral lists this transfer RNA (57 nucleotides) under Agama agama (Red-headed rock agama). Its description in RNAcentral is "tRNA-Ser". Lineage: Eukaryota; Metazoa; Chordata; Lepidosauria; Squamata; Agamidae. The record is from RNAcentral.
GAGAUUUAUACACGAACUGCUAAAUCGCCCCUCCGAGCCUGAACACCCGGACUUCUC